GCUUACGGCCAUACCACCCUGAGCAUGGCCGAUCUCGUCUGAUCUCGGAAGCUAAGCAAAGUUGGGCUUGGUUAUUUCUUGGAUGGGAGCCCGCCUGGGAAUACCAGGUGCUGUAAGCU
Molecule: ribosomal RNA, 119 nt
Organism: Oreochromis aureus
Lineage: Eukaryota; Metazoa; Chordata; Actinopteri; Cichliformes; Cichlidae
Source: Ensembl